GAUCCAGACUCCUACGGGAGGCAGCAGUGGGGAAUAUUGCACAAUGGGGGGAACCCUGAUGCAGCGACGCCGCGUGGGUGAAGGAGUACCUCGGUGCGUAAAGCCCUAUCGGCAGGGAAGAAACAGACGGUACCUGACUAAGAAGCCCCGGCUAACUACGUGCCAGCAGCCGCGGUAAUACGUAGGGGGCAAGCGUUAUCCGGAUUUACUGGGUGUAAAGGGCGUGUAGCCGGGCUGACAAGUCAGAUGUGAAAUCCGGGGGCUCAACCCCCGAACUGCAUUUGAAACUGUUGGUCUUGAGUAUCGGAGAGGCAAGCGGAAUUCCUAGUGUAGCGGUGAAAUGCGUAGAUAUUAGGAGGAACACCAGUGGCGAAGGCGGCCUACUGGACGACAACUGACGGUGAGGCGCGAAAGCGUGGGGAGCAAACAGGAUUAGAUACCCCAGUACU
Molecule: ribosomal RNA, 449 nt
Filed under: uncultured bacterium
Lineage: Bacteria
Description: bacterial SSU rRNA
Rfam family: Bacterial small subunit ribosomal RNA
Source: RNAcentral